GGGUGGAUUCCUGAGCGGUCAAAGGGGCCUGGCUGUAAACCAGGUGGCAUUGCCUUCGUGGGUUCGAAUCCUACUCCACCCACCA
RNAcentral lists this transfer RNA (85 nucleotides) under Candidatus Doudnaibacteriota bacterium. RNAcentral describes it as "Candidatus Doudnabacteria bacterium tRNA-Tyr". It matches the Rfam family "tRNA". From Rfam's summary of the family: Transfer RNA (tRNA) molecules are approximately 80 nucleotides in length. The record is from RNAcentral. Lineage: Bacteria; Candidatus Doudnaibacteriota. RNAcentral also lists the same sequence under 1 other name.